CCUCGUGGCAAGUGAACACGGCUUGUUUAUUCAGCGCUCACGAGUGGAGGAGGCAUCACUGAGUGACGUUCACGGGGAACAGGAACCGUGGCGGCAGCAGCAGAAGAGUGACAAGGAGGCGGCUGGCCACCGCCAGGUGAGCGGACGGGCGGGCGAGUGCCCGGAGUGACUGAGCGAGUGCUGGGUCAUCAUCAUCAUCAUCCUCCAUCGCCCCGACUGCUGUGAACCUCCGAGUCCUACCGGGUCCCGGACGCAGCGACGAGUAACACACACACUGACACACACCGACACACACACUGACACACACCGACACACACACUGACACACGCCGACACACACACUGACACACACCGACACACACACUGACACACGCCGACACACACACUGACACACACCGACACACACACUGACACACACAGUGACACACACACUGACACACACCGACACACACACUGACACACACCGACACACACACCGACACACGCCAAUAUAUAGGCCACCGACGAAGCGUGAUCGACCUCAAGAAGGAAACAGCGGCCACCCCUUCUGCACUCCCAGCGGGGACCUUCCGGGUUCGCAGCUCGAGGCGGGCGACGAUGCCGAGGAGGGAGGAGGGCUGCCGAGACGCGCCACGGCACCGCGCCCAGGCUGGUCGCCUCUCUCGGUCCGUGGGGCACCGCGAGCCCCGGGCGACGAUGGCCCUUCGUCGACAUUAUCAGCCCAGCGGGGAAUUGACGACGGCCACGAGUUGCCGGCGAGACUUGGACGAUUAAAAAACAAAAGGCUGACAGAGAUAUAAGAUAUUUGGCGCUCGGGUUGAUGUAUUUAGCAACACGGAGUAAGUAGACCGCUGAGUGUUCCGUGGAGCCAGCGAGUAGCCAACGAUGAUGCAGACAGCGACGAGAAGGAAACUGCAACUAUUUGGACGCAUGGGUAGGAUGGACAAGAACAGGAAUAUUAAAAGUGUUGUUGUCGUUGUUGUUCGGAAGAGAGAGAGAGGAAGAGCUGAUAGAGAACGGCGUGACGACGAGGACACGAGAGGGUUGGUGCCAGAAACACGUGGCCACUGCAUGAUGGGGCGCAUUGGACCGAGACAGAGAGGAGAGUGGAAACAAAUGACGACAUUUGCAGCAGACACCUACCACGGGCUACCUGCCCAUGGGUCGUGAUGAUGACGAUGACGACGACUUGCCAAGAGCGAAGAGGCUUUACCCUUCCCCUCAGAUGUGCAAAUACCAAAUAGACACAUAUUGCAAGGCGCCAUUAAGUCUGCAUUCGCCACGCAUCAUGCUCGUGGGGAAAAAAGCACAUGCACACAGACGUGCUUUGAUAAUAAUGAUGUUCGCAUCAGCUCUGACACUGAUUGGCCAGAGAGAGCCUCCUUCAUGGCCCUGUCUCGCCACCAGCGUCAGGGCAGAGAACUACGCCAAGAGGCGAGCAGCACAAACACAACCGUUGUCUAUUCUGUGUUUGAACAUCUUAUAACACCUCCUGUAUUCUUGCCGGGAAGGGUAAAGCACAUUCGUUUUGCAACAUUUCAGUAACGACUGCUAAGUCCAUGUUUUCUUCUUGAGCGCGCUGAUGGCAGCAGCAGCAGCACGCGUCGAAGAGCCCGAUGUCAGUGUGGAGGUUCCGCCGCUGCUGCUGCUGCCAGGACGAGAGGGUCUUCCGCAAAGAGAGAGAGAGACGGAGAGAGUUCGUGUCGCGUCGCUCUUUCUCCUCCGUUGGAGGAGCGCAGACUACAGUCGUGUUUACUCUGCGAUCCGUAGCUUGUGUUGCACGGCCACAAUCGCACUCGUGUGGCUUGCAUUUAAUGUAUCUACAUGUAUCGCUAUGGGUGUCUAUGUAUCUAUAUGGGUCUCUAGGUAUCUUUACGGGUCUCUAUGUAUAUCUGAUGUAUGUUGAACUUCUUUCGCACCGUACCUAGCAAACCGUGCUAAUGGGAGGUGCGAAGUGAGCGGUGUUUGGUGAAGUGACGGAUGUUUGUUUUUCGGCACCAGUUUUCACAUUUAGUGUCUCAUCAGUGGGGGCCCUGCUACGGUCCGUGGCGAAUGCAUCCGGGGAUUGUGCCCCUCACUUGGGGAUGCGUGGAGCCGCUGGACGAAGCCCCCCCCCCAAGUUGUCGCCCUGCCUCAUUGAUCCUGCGAUGGAAUGAUCCAUCGCGAGUCCAUCCGAUCACGGUGGGAGACGCACUUGCUCGCAACGUGGGGGGAGGGCUGGACGACCUGAUGAUGAGAAACAAAAAUUUUCAAUUUAUUUUUUACAAAAACAUUUCUGAUAGUCUACUGUUUUGUUUGAAUAGGUGAUGGAAGACUUCGGACUGAGCUAUUCGUAGAGAGGGCUGCAACGUUGUGUGUGUGGAGAGCGGUGGCGCAGUGGUGAGCGCAUUGCACUUACGAACCCGGCGACCCGAGUUUGAUUCCCGUUCACCGCCACUGCUCACCAGCGACGAUUAUCGGAACCGGUCCUCCCCUAGGUCGGCUCGCCGGAACAAAAAAAGCGAGUACCUUGCGUGGUGUGCGUGUAAACAUGACCACGAGGGAGACAAAGGCGGCCGGGCGUCGUGUUUUCCACACCACCACCUCGCGUGCCGUGCCGGUCUUCAUAUCUGCUUCUCGCCAACAGCAGCGCUUGCCCCCCACACGACGCUCUAUUAAAGUGGGGGGGGGGGGGGGGGCUUUGUCGGUGUGCGAGGGACGGAAGUGGAUCGGGUCCCUUUAAAUAGCCCGUCCGCUCCGUCCGCUCCGUCCGCUCCGUCCGCUCCGGGUAAUUUCGCAUGAAUGGAAUUCGUGGAAUUUCGUCUCUUUCCUGGAAAGGGGAAGCGACGGAUGGAAAUUUCAAACCGCGAUGAGUGGCGGCGGCGGCGGCUCCAAAUCAGUUUUCAAAUGUGCUUAAUUAUUUAAUUUCGAUCUCUCUCUAUGCAUUUUUGUCUCCGCCUCGUUUCGUGAUUUGUUUGAAUGUGAACAUGUAACGACGCUUACAGUGAAAUACAGAUCGCAUUGUGAUGCUGCUGCUGCUGCAUUGGCAGCGGCGCGCGAGUCCUGUGAAGAACGUCACUCAUCAUCACUCACCGUGCCCGCUCCGUGACGACGCCGUGUCUGUGUGUGGUUGACCCAAGAAGAAAAAAAUAAAAAUAUCAAAAGCAACUUUUCUGGAUGUGUUAUGCAGAAGGGCCAUUACCCGAAACGUCGACAACUAUAUACAAUUUAUUUUAAGGCUAUACAUUGUUGCUAGCGAAU
Long non-coding RNA from Lethenteron reissneri (Far Eastern brook lamprey), 3239 nucleotides. RefSeq lists it as uncharacterized. Lineage: Eukaryota; Metazoa; Chordata; Hyperoartia; Petromyzontiformes; Petromyzontidae. The record is from RefSeq and is a predicted model, not a curated record.